RNAcentral lists this ribosomal RNA (274 nucleotides) under uncultured bacterium. RNAcentral's name for it is "partial 16S ribosomal RNA". It matches the Rfam family "Bacterial small subunit ribosomal RNA", at positions 523 to 796 of the family's 1533-position model. The record is from RNAcentral.
AUACGGAGGGUGCAAGCGUUAUCCGGAAUCAUUGGGUUUAAAGGGUCCGUAGGCGGGCUAAUAAGUCAGGGGUGAAAUCCCACAGCUUAACUGUGGAACUGCCCUUGAUACUGUUGGUCUUGAGUCACAGUGAAGUGGUUAGAAUGUGUAGUGUAGCGGUGAAAUGCAUAGAGAUUACACAGAAUACCGAUUGCGAAGGCAGAUCACUAACUGUAUACUGACGCUAAUGGACGAAAGCGUGGGGAGCGAACAGGAUUAGAAACCCCUGUAGUCC